RNAcentral lists this long non-coding RNA (146 nucleotides) under Cyanistes caeruleus (blue tit). RNAcentral describes it as "lncRNA (ENSCCEG00000008939.1)". Lineage: Eukaryota; Metazoa; Chordata; Aves; Passeriformes; Paridae. The record is from RNAcentral.
GAUAAAAGAAACUAGCACAGUGUGUUCAGAGGUGAACCUGACAACAGACUAAAAACAUUUUACAGUCAUUUUCUGGCAACCUCACACAGGAUCAUGAGAUGAGGCUGGGUUCCUGGGAGCAGGCACCAUCUCUUAACCUAUUUUAG